RNAcentral lists this ribosomal RNA (234 nucleotides) under uncultured bacterium. RNAcentral's name for it is "partial 16S ribosomal RNA". It matches the Rfam family "Bacterial small subunit ribosomal RNA", at positions 14 to 244 of the family's 1533-position model. The record is from RNAcentral.
GUAUCCUGGCUCAGGACGAACGCUGGCGGCGCGCCUAACACAUGCAAGUCGAACGAGAGAUGAAGAGCUUGCUCUUCAAAUCGAGUGGCGAACGGGUGAGUAACGCGUGAGGAACCUGCCUCAAAGAGGGGGACAACAGUUGGAAACGACUGCUAAUACCGCAUAAGCCCACAGCUCGGCAUCGAGCAAAGGGAAAGGAGUGAUCCGCUUUGAGAUGGCCUCGCGUCCGAUUAG